AUGCACAUGAUGGAAAAUGUAUCCUGACUGAUCACCUUGAUGUUAUCAAAGGAACCACUGAUGCCU
Hyla sarda is the source of this 66-nucleotide small nucleolar RNA. RefSeq annotates it as small nucleolar RNA SNORD42. Lineage: Eukaryota; Metazoa; Chordata; Amphibia; Anura; Hylidae. The transcript has a single exon. The record is from RefSeq and is a predicted model, not a curated record.